RNAcentral lists this long non-coding RNA (1751 nucleotides) under Canis lupus familiaris (dog). RNAcentral's name for it is "lncRNA (ENSCAFG00805003037.1, ENSCAFG00845006953.1)". The record is from RNAcentral. Lineage: Eukaryota; Metazoa; Chordata; Mammalia; Carnivora; Canidae.
AGGCAAAUAUCUCCAAAAAAACAAAAGAAAAUGUAAACCAUUAGAGAUAAGCUAGUCACAAAUCCCUCAGUUGGGAUAAAACUGGGAUUAGAGAAUAUAACUGGCAUACCUCGGGUCACAGAGUAACCCAGUUUCUAACUCCUAACCUCCUUUGUUUUUUUUGUUUGUUUUAUAUUUUUUUUUUGUAUAUUAUUUUAUUGGAGUUCGAUUUGCCGACAUAUAGCAUAACACCCAGUGCUCAUCCCACCAAAUGCCCUCCUCAGUGUCCAUUACCCAGUCACUCCAUCCCCCCGCCCACCUCCUCUUCCUCUACUGCUUGUUUCCCAGAGUUAGGAGUCUCAUGUUUUGUCACCCUCUCUGAUUUUUUUCCCACUCAUUUUCUCUUCUUUCCCCUAUAAUCCCUUUCACUAUUUCUUAUAUUCCCUGAAUGAAUGAAACCAUUUAAUGUUUGUCUUUCUCCGAUUUACUUACUUCACUCAGCAUAAUACCCUCCAGUUCUAUCCACAUUGAAGCAAAUGGUGGGUAUUCGUCAUUUCUAAUGGCUGAGUAAUAUUCCAAUGUAUACACAGACCACAUCUUCCUAACCUCCUUUGAAAGGAGGGAGUGGAGAACACCAAAGAGCUGCCUGCUCUAACAAUAGACAUCCUCCCUUGAGAAAACAAGAGAUGCUAGGGCUUGAGAGAUGAGUUAACCCAGAAACUACACAGGAAAACUGGUUCAUAUACUGGAGAAAGUAAAGAAAUAUGCCAAAACCAAUGAAUAUGGGUUGAGGAAAGGUGGGUAUUCAAGUCAUAGAGUCAAUACAAAGAUUUGGAAUCUAGGCUAUGGAAACCAGUCAGGACAUAGCAUCAAACUGGACCAAUGGGUUGCCUCCAACACUGAGUCUUUCUUUUUUGAGUUUAUUUAGUGGCUCAAUUUGUUAUAAUAUAUCUGUCUAUCUAUCUAUAUAUCAUGUAUAUUAUACACAUAUCACAGAUAUAUAUAUCUCAUAGGAGUAGAGUGGUAGCUAACAGUAGAUUUCUGGCUAGGAUAUAAGAACAGCAUGUUGAAUUUUAGUUUAAGAAUCCUUGCACUACUCUAUCAUAUGCCAAACACCAGUCAGUAAUAAGAAUUUGUCAUGCUUACCUAAGUAGUGAUGCAAAAGCAGAUAUAAAAGAUGAUAAACCCCUGGGUAGAAGGAGUGAAAAUCCUUCAACAGGAGCAAAAAGGAACCUCUAAGAGCUAUAUUUUCUUAUAUUCCUAUAACCUAGAAAUAUUAUUGUCAUGUGAUUGGGACUGAGUCAUAGAUAAUCUUUCAGUCUAUUACUUGGAGAAAUCCAAAAUGAGAGUGACUUUCCGGGGAACCCAAAAGAGGUGAAAAAAAUCUAAAGACUUGGGCACAAAUGGAUCUGGUAACUGUAAUGAUUUCUCAUUAGAAAGUACCCAUACUUUCCUCAGAAGAAAAAACAAAGCGGUAUCUUCCAGGAUGAUAUUAAAAAAUAUCACAAAAUUAUAAAUACCAAAGUAUACUGAAGUACAAGUCAAGUUUCACAUUUACUGGAAGUCUAAACAAACUUCUUGAUAAUUAAUCUCCAAAAUGUAUAAAUCUGCUGCAGAUAUGUGCACAUAAAUUAUAAUAAAGAAUGCUGGUAUGCAAUUUGAUUCAAAGUGCUUUUUAGUAAAGUACAUAAUGAUGCAUGCUGAGGAGAUACAGGUAUAUUUAAUUGGAUAUAAUUAAAAUAAUGAUGUGUGUUUAAAAUAAUGAUAUAUUA